RNAcentral lists this ribosomal RNA (253 nucleotides) under uncultured bacterium. Its description in RNAcentral is "partial 16S ribosomal RNA". It matches the Rfam family "Bacterial small subunit ribosomal RNA", at positions 524 to 776 of the family's 1533-position model. The record is from RNAcentral.
UACGAAGGGGGCUAGCGUUGUUCGGAAUCACUGGGCGUAAAGCGCACGUAGGCGGACUGUUAAGUCGGGGGUGAAAUCCUGGGGCUCAACCCCAGAACUGCCCUCGAUACUGGCGGUCUUGAGUGUGGGAGAGGUUGGUGGAACUCCGAGUGUAGAGGUGAAAUUCGUAGAUAUUCGGAAGAACACCAGUGGCGAAGGCGGCCAACUGGCCCAUUACUGACGCUGAGGUGCGAAAGCGUGGGGAGCAAACAGG